CCUUGUCCUUAGUUGCUACGCAAGAGCACUCUAAGGAGACUGCCGGUGACAAACCGGAGGAAGGUGGGGAUGACGUCAAGUCCUCAUGGCCCUUAUGGGUAGGGCUUCACACGUCAUACAAUGGUCGGAACAGAGGGUUGCCAACCCGCGAGGGGGAGCUAAUCCCAGAAAACCGAUCGUAGUCCGGAUUGCACUCUGCAACUCGAGUGCAUGAAGCUGGAAUCGCUAGUAAUCGCGGAUAAGCAUGCCGCGGUGAAUACGUUCCCGGGUCUUGUACACACCUCCCGUCACACCAUGGGAGUGGGUUUUACCAGAA
Molecule: ribosomal RNA, 316 nt
Filed under: Burkholderia seminalis
Lineage: Bacteria; Pseudomonadati; Pseudomonadota; Betaproteobacteria; Burkholderiales; Burkholderiaceae
Description: bacterial SSU rRNA
Rfam family: Bacterial small subunit ribosomal RNA
Source: RNAcentral